AUGACUAGGGAUAACCUUAGGAAGAGACACAUCAUCAAACCCCUUGAUUGUGUUUACUGCUUGGAACAAGAGUUUUGUUCUCACCUAUUUUUUGAAUGUAUAGUUGCUAAACAUCUAUGGGCCCACAUUGAGGAAUAUUUCUCUAGUCAGAUUGGCUCAUCCUUCGAAUCUAUCGCCAGAUUCUGGAUUGCUACCAAAAAGUGCUCAGUUUUAAACACUGUUAGCUCAGCUGUCCUUUGGUGCCUCUGGAAAUAUAGAAAUGCUAUGAUUUUCAGUAACACCUCCUGGAUUUCCAUUCCGCAGGUCUUGAGGUUGAUCAGGAACAUGGUGAGGAACUGGGCGAUUCUCUCCUCCGGAUCGGACAAGGACAAGUUGAUGAGCUUCGUGGAAACCCUAACAAGAUUCCUCCAGAAACCGUUGGCGAUCACUUGUGGCUGA
This 438-nucleotide ribosomal RNA is filed under the name Triticum aestivum (bread wheat). RNAcentral describes it as "partial small subunit ribosomal RNA". Lineage: Eukaryota; Viridiplantae; Streptophyta; Magnoliopsida; Poales; Poaceae. The record is from RNAcentral.